CGGGCAGGCCUUUGGCUGGCUCCGGGCGAGGCUGGGCACCCCAGAUGAGAUCGCCGGCGGGCACUCCACGCGCCAAUGUGUGCCGCACUUGCUUGCGGGAGAGCGAGGCUGCCCAGCGAGGUGCACCGACGCUGGGCCCGUAGGGACCCAUCUGACAAUGCCCUGUCCCCUGGGAAGCCUGUGCCAGCCUGCAGGGGCCACAGCAAAAUAGAACCGGGAACAUGUGCUGCUUGGGAAGCACACUCGGGCACCUGGCGUAUCUCAGUGAUGAUCACACCCUCCAGGGACCUUCCUGCUUCCACAGAAGGUCCGGAAUCUGGGAGCAGCUGGCUUAGCCGGGUGGUUCUGGCUCAGGGUCUUUCGAUCAAGCUGUGGUCCAGGGCUUCGGUCAGCUCCAAGCUCACCCAGGGAAGGGAAGCCCUCCACCUUCAAGCUCACUCGUGUGCCUCAGUUCCUUGCCGCGUGGGCCUCUCCACAGGGCCGCCUGGUGAUAUGGCCCCUGGCUUCCCCCAGCGAGAGCGAAAGUGGGUACCGCGGUCCUCUUAUUAUCUGACUGCGGAGGUGAUCCCGUUCAAAGGGAAGGGAUGACUCAGGGGCAUGGGUGACGGAAGGCACGGGUCAUUUGGCAUCACCUCAGAGGCUGCUUGCCUCGCAUACGAUAGGUUCAUUAUUGUUCCUUUUAUAUAAAUUAAUAAAUAGUCUAAACUUC
Molecule: long non-coding RNA, 709 nt
Organism: Felis catus (domestic cat)
Lineage: Eukaryota; Metazoa; Chordata; Mammalia; Carnivora; Felidae
Exons: 2
Source: RefSeq, a predicted model, not a curated record